GAGGGUAUAGCUUAGUGGUUGAGUUUGUGUUUAGCAUGCAUGAGGUCCUGGGUUCAAUCCCUAGUACCUCCA
This 72-nucleotide transfer RNA is filed under the name Camelus bactrianus (Bactrian camel). It matches the Rfam family "tRNA". Rfam says of the family: Transfer RNA (tRNA) molecules are approximately 80 nucleotides in length. Their secondary structure includes four short double-helical elements and three loops (D, anti-codon, and T loops). Lineage: Eukaryota; Metazoa; Chordata; Mammalia; Artiodactyla; Camelidae. The record is from Rfam by way of RNAcentral. RNAcentral also lists the same sequence under 1 other name.